RNAcentral lists this long non-coding RNA (212 nucleotides) under Elaeis guineensis (African oil palm). RNAcentral's name for it is "long non-coding RNA (EGUI_LNC006952)". Lineage: Eukaryota; Viridiplantae; Streptophyta; Magnoliopsida; Arecales; Arecaceae. The record is from RNAcentral.
UGGUAACAGCUGGAAUCACUCGGUCGGGGGACGCGGUUCAGGCCCGCCGCGCUGGGGCCGUAUGCAAGGUCUCCGACCGUGGCGAACAAACUUCUCCAUGAUCAAUCUUAGUUGGCACAGGAAUGGAAGAAUCUGAAGGAAAUCAAGAUGGUUCAAAGCCUUAUCCAUAGGAAUCGAUAUAUUGAUAUCUCAGCUGAUACAAUAGUUUUGUG